Molecule: ribosomal RNA, 253 nt
Filed under: uncultured bacterium
Lineage: Bacteria
Description: partial 16S ribosomal RNA
Rfam family: Bacterial small subunit ribosomal RNA
Source: RNAcentral
UACGUAGGUGGCGAGCGUUGUCCGGAUUUACUGGGCGUAAAGAGCGCGCAGGCGGUCGAUUUAGUCGUGUGUGAAAGCCCCCGGCUCAACUGGGGAGGGUCACGCGAUACUGAUCGACUCGAAGGCAGGAGAGGGUAGUGAAAUUCCCGGUGUAGUGGUGAAAUGCGUAGAUAUCGGGAGGAACACCAGUGGCGAAGGCGACUACCUGGCCUGUUCUUGACGCUGAGGCGCGAAAGCUAGGGGAGCAAACGGG